Molecule: long non-coding RNA, 376 nt
Filed under: Mytilus galloprovincialis (Mediterranean mussel)
Lineage: Eukaryota; Metazoa; Mollusca; Bivalvia; Mytilida; Mytilidae
Source: RNAcentral
GUUUAGAAAGGUCAACUCCUAAUUGUAUUAUAUAUGGAGAACUAGGUAGAUAUCCUUUUGAUGUAUUUAGCAAAAGUAGGACAAUUGGUGUAUGGAAAAUUUCUUAUGCAAUAAGCAAGAUAAGAUUUCCUUUAAUUUGUUGAAAUUGUAAUACACCAUGCAUAACAGAAAUAUGUACAAUUCAGAAUGGAUACGUGGUGUUGAACAUACUCUAAAUAAAUGUGAUUGUUCCGAAUAUUGGUUAACUCAAAUUGUGUCUUAAUCUGCAAACCAAGCUAAUUGUAAGGCUGAGGUUAUGUGACCAAUUUAAGCAAAAAUGAUAUGCUUCUGUGUAUGAAUAACCUAAAUGUCUCAAUUAUAUAAUUUUUUAAAGAAA